CAAGUACUUCCUCCGUUCGGAAUUACUCGUCCAAGAAAUGAAUGUAUCUAGAUAUAUUUUAGUUAUAGAUACAUUUAUUUUUGUGACAAGUAAUUCCGAACGGAGGAAGUAUAAC
Molecule: non-coding RNA, 115 nt
Organism: Triticum aestivum (bread wheat)
Lineage: Eukaryota; Viridiplantae; Streptophyta; Magnoliopsida; Poales; Poaceae
Source: Rfam